RNAcentral lists this unclassified non-coding RNA (171 nucleotides) under uncultured fungus. Its description in RNAcentral is "sequence contains ITS1". The record is from RNAcentral. Lineage: Eukaryota; Fungi.
UUGAUUUAUUUAAUCGUGUUACUCAGAAGAUACUGUAUAAAACAAGAGUUUGGGGGUCCUCUGGCGGGCCGCCGGAGCGGGCACCGCCGAGGCAACAGUUUGGUAACGUUCACAUUGGGUUUGGGAGUUGUAAACUCGGUAAUGAUCCCUCCGCUGGUUCACCAACGGAGA